This 515-nucleotide ribosomal RNA is filed under the name uncultured bacterium. RNAcentral's name for it is "SSU rRNA". It matches the Rfam family "Bacterial small subunit ribosomal RNA", at positions 26 to 518 of the family's 1533-position model. The record is from RNAcentral.
AGAAUCAACGCUGGCGGCGUGCCUAACACAUGCAAGUCGAACGCGAAAGGGGCUUCGGCUCUGAGUAGAGUGGCGAACGGGUGAGUAACACGUGGGUGAUCUACCUUCGAGCGGGGGAUAACGUUCCGAAAGGGACGCUAAUACCGCAUGACGUCCUGGGUUUGAAGACCUGGAGACCAAAGCUAGGGACCGCAAGGCCUGGCACUUGAAGAGGAGCCCGCGUCCGAUUAGCUAGUUGGCGGGGUAACGGCCCACCAAGGCGACGAUCGGUAGCCGGCCUGAGAGGGCGGACGGGCCACGACUGGGACUGAGACGCGGCCCAGACUCCUACGGGAGGCAGCAGUGGGGAAUUGUUCACAAUGGGCGCAAGCCUGAUGACGCAACGCCGCGUGGGGGAUGAAGGUCUUCGGAUCGUAAACCCCUGUCGAAUGGGACGAAAAACUUCCGGAUUAAUACCCUGGAGGAUUGACGGUACCGUUAAAGGAAGCCACGGCUAACUCUGUGCCAGCAGCCGC